RNAcentral lists this ribosomal RNA (811 nucleotides) under uncultured bacterium. Its description in RNAcentral is "bacterial SSU rRNA". It matches the Rfam family "Bacterial small subunit ribosomal RNA", at positions 505 to 1325 of the family's 1533-position model. The record is from RNAcentral.
GUGCCAGCAGCCGCGGUAAUACGGAGGAUCCAAGCGUUAUCCGGAAUCAUUGGGUUUAAAGGGUCCGUAGGCGGUUUGGUAAGUCAGUGGUGAAAGCCCAUCGCUCAACGGUGGAACGGCCAUUGAUACUGCCGAACUUGAAUUAUUGGGAAGUAACUAGAAUAUGUAGUGUAGCGGUGAAAUGCUUAGAGAUUACAUGGAAUACCAAUUGCGAAGGCAGGUUACUACCAAUGGAUUGACGCUGAUGGACGAAAGCGUGGGUAGCGAACAGGAUUAGAUACCCUGGUAGUCCACGCCGUAAACGAUGGAUACUAGCUGUUGGUGGCAACAUCAGUGGCUAAGCGAAAGUGAUAAGUAUCCCACCUGGGGAGUACGAACGCAAGUUUGAAACUCAAAGGAAUUGACGGGGGCCCGCACAAGCGGUGGAGCAUGUGGUUUAAUUCGAUGAUACGCGAGGAACCUUACCAAGGCUUAAAUGCAGACUGACCGAUUUGGAAACAGAUCUUUCGCAAGACAGUUUACAAGGUGCUGCAUGGUUGUCGUCAGCUCGUGCCGUGAGGUGUCAGGUUAAGUCCUAUAACGAGCGCAACCCCUGUUGUUAGUUGCCAGCGAGUAGUGUCGGGAACUCUAACAAGACUGCCAGUGCAAACUGUGAGGAAGGUGGGGAUGACGUCAAAUCAUCACGGCCCUUACGCCUUGGGCUACACACGUGCUACAAUGGCCGGUACAGAGAGCAGCCACCCCGCGAGGGGGAGCGAAUCUAUAAAGCCGGUCACAGUUCGGAUCGGAGUCUGCAACUCGACUCCGGAAG